Molecule: ribosomal RNA, 516 nt
Filed under: Pseudomonas protegens
Lineage: Bacteria; Pseudomonadati; Pseudomonadota; Gammaproteobacteria; Pseudomonadales; Pseudomonadaceae
Description: bacterial SSU rRNA
Rfam family: Bacterial small subunit ribosomal RNA
Source: RNAcentral
UUAGACGAUGNUGNANCNCCCUGCNGUAGAGACACGGUCCAGACUCCUACGGGAGGCAGCAGUGGGGAAUAUUGGACAAUGGGCGAAAGCCUGAUCCAGCCAUGCCGCGUGUGUGAAGAAGGUCUUCGGAUUGUAAAGCACUUUAAGUUGGGAGGAAGGGCAGUUACCUAAUACGUGAUUGUUUUGACGUUACCGACAGAAUAAGCACCGGCUAACUCUGUGCCAGCAGCCGCGGUAAUACAGAGGGUGCAAGCGUUAAUCGGAAUUACUGGGCGUAAAGCGCGCGUAGGUGGUUUGUUAAGUUGGAUGUGAAAGCCCCGGGCUCAACCUGGGAACUGCAUCCAAAACUGGCAAGCUAGAGUAUGGUAGAGGGUGGUGGAAUUUCCUGUGUAGCGGUGAAAUGCGUANAUAUAGGAAGGAACACCAGUGGCGAAGGCGACCACCUGGACUGAUACUGACACUGAGGUGCGAAAGCGUGGGGAGCAAACAGGGAUUANAUACCCUGGUAGUCCACGC